RNAcentral lists this long non-coding RNA (242 nucleotides) under Setaria italica (foxtail millet). Its description in RNAcentral is "long non-coding RNA (SITA_LNC005852)". Lineage: Eukaryota; Viridiplantae; Streptophyta; Magnoliopsida; Poales; Poaceae. The record is from RNAcentral.
GUCCAUUUGGGUCGAGUCCCAAACUUCGAGGUGAAAUAUUGUUCUGGCUUCUACAGUCAAACGGUGCACUCAGCCAAUGCAGAUCAAACAAAAAAGAAAAAAAAAGGAAGGAAGAAGAAAAGAACAAAAAGACUCUGCACGCUCUAAGCAACACAUAAUCUGAGACAUAAUAUACAGCUCAAACCACCUAUCAACCUUACGUUCCAACUAUAUAGAGAAAAAACUUGAUGCGGCUACACAUA